This 496-nucleotide ribosomal RNA is filed under the name uncultured bacterium. RNAcentral's name for it is "partial 16S ribosomal RNA". It matches the Rfam family "Bacterial small subunit ribosomal RNA", at positions 28 to 506 of the family's 1533-position model. The record is from RNAcentral.
GAUGAACGCUGGCGGCGUGCCUAAUACAUGCAAGUCGAGCGAACGGACGAGAAGCUUGCUUCUCUGAUGUUAGCGGCGGACGGGUGAGUAACACGUGGAUAACCUACCUAUAAGACUGGGAUAACUUCGGGAAACCGGUGCUAAUACCGGAUAAUAUUUUGAACCGCAUGGUUCAAAAGUGAAAGACGGUCUUGCUGUCACUUAUAGAUGGAUCCGCGCUGCAUUAGCUAGUUGGUAAGGUAACGGCUUACCAAGGCAACGAUGCAUAGCCGACCUGAGAGGGUGAUCGGCCACACUGGAACUGAGACACGGUCCAGACUCCUACGGGAGGCAGCAGUAGGGAAUCUUCCGCAAUGGGCGAAAGCCUGACGGAGCAACGCCGCGUGAGUGAUGAAGGUCUUCGGAUCGUAAAACUCUGUUAUUAGGGAAGAACAUAUGUGUAAGUAACUGUGCACAUCUUGACGGUACCUAAUCAGAAAGCCACGGCUAACUACGU